UACGAAGGGGGCUAGCGUUGUUCGGAUUUACUGGGCGUAAAGCGCACGUAGGCGGAUCGUUAAGUCGGGGGUGAAAUCCUGGAGCUCAACUCCAGAACUGCCUUCGAAACUGGCGAGCUUGAGUGCCGGAGAGGGUCGCGGAAUUCCCGGUGUAGAGGUGAAAUUCGUAGAUAUCGGGAGGAACACCGGUGGCGAAGGCGGCGACCUGGGACAAUACUGACGCUGAGGUGCGAAAGCGUGGGGAGCAAACAGG
This 253-nucleotide ribosomal RNA is filed under the name uncultured bacterium. RNAcentral describes it as "partial 16S ribosomal RNA". It matches the Rfam family "Bacterial small subunit ribosomal RNA", at positions 524 to 776 of the family's 1533-position model. The record is from RNAcentral.